AUUGAACGCUGGCGGCAUGCCUUACACAUGCCAGUCGAACGGCAGCACGGGUGCUUGCACCUGGUGGCGAGUGGCGAACGGGUGAGUAAUACAUCGGAACAUGUCCUGUAGUGGGGGAUAGCCCGGCGAAAGCCGGAUUAAUACCGCAUACGAUCCACGGAUGAAAGCGGGGGACCUACGGGCCUCGCGCUAUAGGGUUGGCCGAUGGCUGAUUAGCUAGUUGGUGGGGUAAAGGCCUACCAAGGCGACGAUCAGUAGCUGGUCUGAGAGGACGACCAGCCACACUGGGACUGAGACACGGCCCAGACUCCUACGGGAGGCAGCAGUGGGGAAUUUUGGACAAUGGGCGAAAGCCUGAUCCAGCAAUGCCGCGUGUGUGAAGAAGGCCUUCGGGUUGUAAAGCACUUUUGUCCGGAAAGAAAUCCUUGACUCUAAUACAGUCGGGGGAUGACGGUACCGGAAGAAUAAGCACCGGCUAACUACGUG
RNAcentral lists this ribosomal RNA (486 nucleotides) under uncultured bacterium. Its description in RNAcentral is "partial 16S ribosomal RNA". It matches the Rfam family "Bacterial small subunit ribosomal RNA", at positions 30 to 507 of the family's 1533-position model. The record is from RNAcentral.